GAUGAACGCUGGCGGCGUGCCUAAUACAUGCAAGUCGAGCGAACAGACGAGGAGCUUGCUCCUCUGACGUUAGCGGCGGACGGGUGAGUAACACGUGGAUAACCUACCUAUAAGACUGGGAUAACUUCGGGAAACCGGAGCUAAUACCGGAUAAUAUAUUGAACCGCAUGGUUCAAUAGUGAAAGACGGUUUUGCUGUCACUUAUAGAUGGAUCCGCGCCGCAUUAGCUAGUUGGUAUGGUAACGGCUUACCAAGGCAACGAUGCGUAGCCGACCUGAGAGGGUGAUCGGCCACACUGGAACUGAGACACGGUCCAGACUCCUAUGGGAGGCAGCAGUAGGGAAUCUUCCGCAAUGGGCGAAAGCCUGACGGAGCAACGCCGCGUGAGUGAUGAAGGUCUUCGGAUCGUAAAACUCUGUUAUUAGGGAAGAACAAAUGUGUAAGUAACUAUGCACGUCUUGACGGUACCUAAUCAGAAAGCCACGGCUAACUACGUG
RNAcentral lists this ribosomal RNA (497 nucleotides) under uncultured bacterium. RNAcentral's name for it is "partial 16S ribosomal RNA". It matches the Rfam family "Bacterial small subunit ribosomal RNA", at positions 28 to 507 of the family's 1533-position model. The record is from RNAcentral.